Molecule: ribosomal RNA, 440 nt
Filed under: uncultured bacterium
Lineage: Bacteria
Description: bacterial SSU rRNA
Rfam family: Bacterial small subunit ribosomal RNA
Source: RNAcentral
CCUACGGGACGCACCAGUGGGGAAUAUUGGACAAUGGGCGAAAGCCUGAUCCAGCAAUGCCGCGUGUGUGAAGAAGGUCUUCGGAUUGUAAAGCACUUUCGACGGGGACGAUGAUGACGGUACCCGUAGAAGAAGCCCCGGCUAACUUCGUGCCAGCAGCCGCGGUAAUACGAAGGGGGCUAGCGUUGCUCGGAAUGACUGGGCGUAAAGGGCGCGUAGGCGGUUUAUGCAGUCAGAUGUGGAAUCCCCGGGCUUGACCUGGGAACUGCAUUUGAGACGCAUAGACUAGAGGUCGAGAGAGGGUUGUGGAAUUCCCAGUGUAGAGGUGGAAUUCGUAGAUAUUGGGAAGAAUACCGGUGGCGAAGGCGGCAACCUGGCUCGAUACUGACGCUGUGGCGCGAAAGCGUGGGGAGCAAACAGGAUUAGAUACCCUGGUAGUC